GUCCACGCCCUAACUAUGUCAACUAGUUGUCGGGUCUUAUUAGACUUGGUAACGUAGCUAACGCGUGAAGUUGACCGCCUGGGAGUACGGUCGCAAGAUUAAACUCAAAGGAAUUGACGGGACCCGCACAAGCGGUGGAUUAUGUGGAUUAAUUCGAUGCAACGCGAAACCUUACCUACCCUUGACAUGUCAGAAAGUUUUCAGAGAUGAAAUCGUGCUCGAAAGAGAAUCUGAACACAGGUGCUGCAUGGCUGUCGU
This 258-nucleotide ribosomal RNA is filed under the name uncultured bacterium. RNAcentral describes it as "partial 16S ribosomal RNA". It matches the Rfam family "Bacterial small subunit ribosomal RNA", at positions 793 to 1055 of the family's 1533-position model. The record is from RNAcentral.